UUUAUCUAUCUUUGACUGGUUUGACUAGGUGUUUAGUGAGUGGGCCCCACUGUUUGUUUCAUUGCCUUAAUUUCCGGAUCUUGCCUGAUGGUGGAUUAUUGGUUUUUCCUGUUUUUGAUUAGUGGAGGCUUUUAAUUGAGUUUAUGGGUUGCUUUUAUAGGUUUAGCUGUGCAACCAAUCUUCUUGCUCUCCAAACUCUCUUAUCCUUGAAACAACUCAACCUUGGCCGAAUUUUGGUGUCAUUUUCUUUUCUCUUUAUGCUUGGUUUUUGAGUGGAACUUGUCACCAACAAGCUUAGAGAUCCAUACCGGGCUGUAGUUCGCGGGACUUGGUGAACCCAACUCUGUAGCUCGGAGCCAGGAGAAGAUCAAGUUUAGGUCCAGGGGGUG
Dioscorea cayenensis subsp. rotundata (Guinea yam) is the source of this 389-nucleotide long non-coding RNA. RefSeq lists it as uncharacterized. The transcript is spliced from 3 exons. The record is from RefSeq and is a predicted model, not a curated record. NCBI's taxonomy places the organism in Eukaryota, Viridiplantae, Streptophyta, Magnoliopsida, Dioscoreales, Dioscoreaceae.